AAACAUUAUAGUUACACAGUGUAUAUUGAAAUGUUGUUAGGUUGAGUCAGCUAAUAAGGUCCUGCUUUAUGCUGAUGUAAUGAUAAUCCCUAGGGACAGUAGACCACAGUGUCCACCCACUAGUGUUCAACCAGUAACAUAUGCAGUGAUAUAACAUUGAAAUUCCUUGCUGGUUCCAGGUUACAAUAUUUGCUGUAACAUAAACUUUUUUAUAAUAAUGUAUUUUUAAUUAUUUUUAAACUUAUUGUGUAGCAUGUCUGAGUGUGCAUUAACAUCCAUUAAACCAUUAAUUCUUUGAUAUAUAUCACUAUGAUAACAAUCAGUCCACACUAUACAUUA
Molecule: long non-coding RNA, 339 nt
Organism: Amphimedon queenslandica
Lineage: Eukaryota; Metazoa; Porifera; Demospongiae; Haplosclerida; Niphatidae
Exons: 2
Source: RefSeq, a predicted model, not a curated record